This 27-nucleotide non-coding RNA is filed under the name Mus musculus (house mouse). Lineage: Eukaryota; Metazoa; Chordata; Mammalia; Rodentia; Muridae. The record is from RNAcentral.
UGGCCAUGCCACUCUGAGAGAUGUCUA